GCCCCCAUCGUCUAGCGGCCUAGGACGUCGCCCUUUCACGGCGGUAGCACGGGUUCGAAUCCCGUUGGGGGUGCAA
Molecule: transfer RNA, 76 nt
Filed under: Pimelobacter sp.
Lineage: Bacteria; Bacillati; Actinomycetota; Actinomycetes; Propionibacteriales; Nocardioidaceae
Description: tRNA-Glu
Rfam family: tRNA
About the family: Transfer RNA (tRNA) molecules are approximately 80 nucleotides in length. Their secondary structure includes four short double-helical elements and three loops (D, anti-codon, and T loops).
Source: RNAcentral